UACUAGGGGUGCAAGCGUUGUCCGGAAUCAUUGGGCGUAAAGGGUGCGUAGGCGUCCAGGAAAGUUAUUUGUUAAAGCCUCCGGCUUAACCGGAGAAAUGCAAGUAAAACUAUCUGGAUAGAGUUUAAGAGAGGAAAAUGGAAUUCCUGGUGUAGCGGUGACAUGCGUAGAUAUCAGGAGGAACAUCAAUGGCGAAGGCAGUUUUCUGGCUUAAAACUGACGCUGAGGCACGAAAGCGUGGGGAGCAAACAGG
This 253-nucleotide ribosomal RNA is filed under the name uncultured prokaryote. RNAcentral's name for it is "partial 16S ribosomal RNA". It matches the Rfam family "Bacterial small subunit ribosomal RNA", at positions 524 to 776 of the family's 1533-position model. The record is from RNAcentral.